UACGGAGGAUCCAAGCGUUAUCCGGAUUUAUUGGGUUUAAAGGGUGCGUAGGCGGCCUAUUAAGUCAGGGGUGAAAGACGGUAGCUUAACUAUCGCAGUGCCUUUGAUACUGAUGGGCUUGAAUGUACUAGAGGUAGGCGGAAUGUGACAAGUAGCGGUGAAAUGCAUAGAUAUGUCACAGAACACCGAUUGCGAAGGCAGCUUACUAUGGUAUUAUUGACGCUGAGGCACGAAAGCUAGGGGAGCAAACAGG
RNAcentral lists this ribosomal RNA (253 nucleotides) under uncultured bacterium. RNAcentral describes it as "partial 16S ribosomal RNA". It matches the Rfam family "Bacterial small subunit ribosomal RNA", at positions 524 to 776 of the family's 1533-position model. The record is from RNAcentral.